Molecule: unclassified non-coding RNA, 438 nt
Filed under: Staphylococcus haemolyticus
Lineage: Bacteria; Bacillati; Bacillota; Bacilli; Caryophanales; Staphylococcaceae
Description: 16S-23S ribosomal RNA intergenic spacer
Source: RNAcentral
AAGGAUAUAUUCGGAACAUCUCGUAGAGAUGAGGARUAACGUGACAUAUUGUAUUCAGUUUUGAAUGUUUAUUUUAAACAUUCAAYAACUAAAUGAAAAUUGCAUUCAAAAUUAUAUUUUGAUAUACUAUUUUGAUGURAUUGUUUGUUURUUGAUUGUACAUUGAAAACUAGAUAAGUAAGUAAAAUAGAUUUUACCAAGCAAAACCGAGUGAAUAAGAGUUUUAAAAAAGCUUGAAUUCAUAAAAUAUAAUCGCUAGUGUUCGAAAGAACACUCACAAGAUUAAUAACAGGUUUUCGACUUGAACUUUUAAAGAAAUCGUUUUUAGAUAAUGAGUUGAGUUUAUUUAAAGCGCAGUUUACUUUUGUAAAUGAGCAUUUAAAUGAAUGAAAACGAAGCAAUAUGAGAACGAUUGACUAAAAGUUUGGUGGAAACAUA